AAGCUCAUUAGCUAGCUCACCCCCUAAAAUCCAAAAAAUCCUUAUUAAUAAACCCUAAUGAAAACCACCUAUAUAAUAAAACAUUUUACUACCUAAGUACGGGAGACGGAAAAGGAUACCGAAGCUACAGAUAAAGUACCGCAAGGGAACGCUGAAAUAGAAGUGAAACAAAUCAGUAUAAGCCUAUUAAAGCAGAGAUUAGUACUCGUACCUUUUGCAUCAUGAAUUAGCAAGUAAUCUCGAGCAAAGUGUACUUUAGUUCGUAACCCCGAAACCAGGUGAGCUACUCCAAGACAGCCUACUGGGCGCACCCGUCUCUGUGGCAAAAGAGUGGAAAGAGCUUCGAGUAGAGGUGACAUACCAACCGAACUUGGUUAUAGCUGGUUGCUUAAGAAUAGAAUACAAGUUCAGCCCUUUAUCUUCUUUAAUUCUCUUCUAAGAUCUUAAGAAAACAAAGGAGUCAAUCAAAAGGGGUACAGCCCUUUUGAAAAAGAUACAACUUUAGUAGAUGGGUAAAGAUCAUUAUACUAUAGGGUCUAUGUUACAGUUGGCCUAAGAGCAGCCAUCUCCUCAGAAAGCGUUAAAGCUCAAACCUUUCCCCCCCCCCCAUUAUCCCGAUCAUUAUAUCCCACCCCCCUAACCUAUAUUAAGCCUCUCUAUACCCAUAUAGAGGUGAUUAUGCUAAUACGAGUAAUAAGAGACUAAGAAUCUCUCCCUGCACAAGUGUACAUCGGAACGAACCCCCUCCGAAACUUAACGGCCCCAAUCAAGAGGGUACUGAAAUACUUAAUUAAUCACUAGAUAUGCUUCCGCCCCUCCCCCGUUGACCUUACACCAGAGUGCAUCCUUGGAAAGACAAAAUAAGGAAGAAGGAACUCGGCA
This 882-nucleotide ribosomal RNA is filed under the name Siphamia majimai (striped siphonfish). RNAcentral describes it as "partial 16S ribosomal RNA". The stretch from base 190 to 882 matches the Rfam family "Bacterial large subunit ribosomal RNA", at positions 568 to 1719 of the family's 2925-position model. Lineage: Eukaryota; Metazoa; Chordata; Actinopteri; Kurtiformes; Apogonidae. The record is from RNAcentral.